CCGCCUGCGUUUUAUUCUCCUCGUGCUUAAAACAGUAUAAAUACGGAUUCGAGAUCUCUAUUCAGACAUAACACAUCUUUUUGUGCAAUUUUAUUCUUUGGUGAGUACUCACAACUUUUAUAAUAUAUAUACGAGAACGAAAACAAUUCAUUUUCUGAUCGGUUGAUUUUAUUAUUGUUUUUUUUUUUUUUUUAUUCCUGUUUGUAGUCUUCACUUCGUUUCACGAAAACAAAACCAAAUAUCAAAAAUGGGCGCUGAAAAGGUAUCCAUGAACAUCGUUGUCGUCGGACAAGUCCAACCUGCCAAGGCCAUCAAAGCCGUCGCAAAGGCCGCUCCAGCCACCAGCCAACUUAUGGUGAGUGUAUUAAUACUGUUUAAUAGCACUUAUUAAUUAUUCCUCAAAGACAUACAUUUUUUUCAUUUUUCUACUAAGCGAUGAUAACUUUAAAAUCGAUAUUUUUCGCGACGAAUAUUUAAAAAAAAAAUUAAANGAACAUCGUUGUCGUCGGACAAGUCCAAUCUGCCAAGGCCAUCAAAGCCGUCGCAAAGGCCGCCCCAGCCACCAGCCAACUUAUGGUGAGUGUAUUAAUACUGUUUAAUAGCACUUAUUAAUUAUUCCUCAUACUCAUACAUUUUCUUCAAUUUUCUACUAAGCGAUGAUAAUUUUAAAAUCGAUAUUUUUCCCGACGAAUAUUUUAAAAUAAAAUUAAACUUUUUUCUAACGUUUUUAAUCAUUA
Molecule: non-coding RNA, 737 nt
Organism: Cinara cedri
Lineage: Eukaryota; Metazoa; Arthropoda; Insecta; Hemiptera; Aphididae
Source: the annotation of a GenBank genome assembly